Molecule: long non-coding RNA, 1995 nt
Filed under: Anneissia japonica
Lineage: Eukaryota; Metazoa; Echinodermata; Crinoidea; Comatulida; Comatulidae
Description: uncharacterized LOC117116401, transcript variant X1
Source: RNAcentral
GCCCACAGCUGUAUCUUUUUGCAGAGGGCUGAGAAAUGCUGACCUGGCCAGCAUCCAUUCACAAGAGGAGGAUGAGUUUAUUCAGACUAUCAUUCAAUACUAUGACGGAUAUUCGUGGAUUGGUUUCAAUUCUUCUGACGAGGAACACUGGAGCGAUGGAACUUACGUUAACUACAGUGUCAUCGAAACUGAUGCAGAAGGUGGGUGCGUUGUAUACAGCCAGGAAGAUCACGUAUUCUCUUGGAAAACUCAACUGUGUGCAUCAUCACAACAUGCGUACGUGUGUAAGGAUAUGAGAGGUAAUAUUUAUUGUGUUAACUGUCGAGUACUGAAUUGUUUCUAACGCAUUGGUGUACAGUCAAAAUUUGACUAAUGCUACGAAGAGUUAACAAUAUAAUGCCUUACAACAUAUUAGCUCAAAUUCUAACAUGUUUGCUCUUUUCACAGCAUUAACCAAAAAACAGAAUUUUCUUUACAGCAUUAAACGAUAUUUGUUUACAGCAUUAAUCCCGUUUACUCUACAGCGUUAACAUUUUAUCCACAGCAUAAAAGAAACUGGAAGUAAUUUUUUCACGUAUCUGACCAUGAUUUAUGUUAAAGGGUUAACAAAGUUUUAUUUCAGCUACCAAGGAAUAUUUCCUUUCCACUUGUUCUUUGUCUUUGAUUUCAACGGAAUUUGCUGUUGGAGUGUUGGAUCAAUCGAUUACUCACAAAAAGACGGUGACAUACGGUAUUGAUCUAAACAGGAUGGGUGCAUUGUUGAAGAUGACUUGAAUGGAUAAGAACACAUACUGGUAGGAAAUGGAGGUAGUAAGUAGUAGAAAGUGAACCCCACGGUGUGACAGCUGGAGAAGUACCACGAUUCUCUCUUUAUCAAGUAAUUGCUGUAAACAGGAAGAACAGGCAAUAUUUCGCAUGGAAAAAAGUUGUACUCAUAAAAUCUUCGUGUUAAAUAUGACAUCCAGGAACAUUUUGCAGUUUUUCAGACACCUUUCAAACAUUCGGACAUUAAUUGCAUCGAUAUCAAGAAUAGUUUUGGUCCAUAAUGAAAAACAAAACCAAGAAAAAUUAUCCAUAUCAUUUAACAAAAAACACUGACGUGCGUUGCUGCUUAUCUGACCUGAAAGAAAAAUGUAUCUGGCAUUGGCUACACAUCCAGUUGCUAAAGUUUGUCUUAAAAUUGAUGUAAUAAAAUGUAGAAUCAUGCCUAGUAUCGAGUGAGUCAUCAAUGAAUGAAUGGUUGGAUACCUUUAAAAAUGUAUUUUUUCAACAGUUACCAUCCCAUCAGUUUUAGGAAUUAGGAGCUAAUGAAUAAAAUGAACAUACGUUAUGAACAUUUUCGAGAGAUAGAAAAGCAAGAACCUAAUUUAACCAGUUAAUUUAUUUGUAAAUAAACAAUGAACAAAUACGCAGAUGAUCUGUAUUGACAUUCUAUACAAUGUAACUGUACAAUUCUGUCUUUCUAUUUAGACACACAGUCGUAUUUAGUAUUAAUAAUACACACAGUUACAAAUCCAUACAUGAUACCUUGUCAACAUGGCUGCCAGAACACAUGAGUAGCAUUUAAUAUGUACUCCAUUGUCCUCCCGCUUUGCAAGGCUACUACCAAGACGUUUGCCUGUGUUCAGUAUAUUAUAUCUACCUCCAUGAUUACAUUAACCAUCAGUGAUGCUGUAUGAAAAUGAUUUCUGGAGGCUUACUCAAUUUAAACAGAGAAACUGAACUAUUUGUUUUCAUAACUCAUGCUGGAGGCGUGUUUUCAACAUCUUCUGAUUAAAUAUCACUUCAAAGGAAAACUUAUAAGCUGAAAAAUCAAUGGUCACAAGUACACUAAAAAUUAACUGAUUCAAAAAUGUUCUUAUCCUACUUUGGAAACAAGGCGAAGGAGUAAAACGGAUGCGUGACUGGAAAUGUAAUGUGAAGAUGACUCUGCAGUGAAUAGACACGCAUAUUACUGAAUAUUCUAACGCUCUGAUUAUUCUAACGUGGCGAUAU